UGGGGAAUUUUGGACAAUGGGCGAAAGCCUGAUCCAGCAAUGCCGCGUGUGUGAAGAAGGCCUUCGGGUUGUAAAGCACUUUUGUCCGGAAAGAAAUCCUUGGCUCUAAUACAGUCGGGGGAUGACGGUACCGGAAGAAUAAGCACCGGCUAACUACGUGCCAGCAGCCGCGGUAAUACGUAGGGUGCAAGCGUUAAUCGGAAUUACUGGGCGUAAAGCGUGCGCAGGCGGUUUGCUAAGACCGAUGUGAAAUCCCCGGGCUCAACCUGGGAACUGCAUUGGUGACUGGCAGGCUAGAGUAUGGCAGAGGGGGGUAGAAUUCCACGUGUAGCAGUGAAAUGCGUAGAGAUGUGGAGGAAUACCGAUGGCGAAGGCAGCCCCCUGGCAAGUACUGACGCUCAUGCACGAAAGCGUGGGGAGCAAACNGGAUUAAUNCCCUGGUAGUCCACGCCCCUAAAANGAUGUCAACUAGUUGUUGGGGAUUCAUUUCCUUAGUAACGUAGCUAACGCGUGAAGUUGACCGCCUGGGGAGUACGGUCGCAAGAUUAAAACUCAAAUAAUUGAC
RNAcentral lists this ribosomal RNA (565 nucleotides) under uncultured bacterium. RNAcentral describes it as "partial 16S ribosomal RNA". It matches the Rfam family "Bacterial small subunit ribosomal RNA", at positions 355 to 914 of the family's 1533-position model. The record is from RNAcentral.